AGACCCGAAACCCGGUGAUCUAGCCAUGGGCAGGUUGAAGGUUGGGUAACACUAACUGGAGGACCGAACCGACUAAUGUUGAAAAAUUAGCGGAUGACCUGUGGCUGGGGGUGAAAGGCCAAUCAAACCGGGAGAUAGCUGGUUCUCCCCGAAAGCUAUUUAGGUAGCGCCUCGUGAAUUCAUCUCCGGGGGUAGAGCACUGUUUCGGCUAGGGGGCCAUCCCGGCUUACCAACCCGAUGCAAACUGCGAAUACCGGAGAAUGUUAUCACGGGAGACACACGGCGGGUGCUAACGUCCGUCGUGAAGAGGGAAACAACCCAGACCGCCAGCUAAGGUCCCAAAGUCAUGGUUAAGUGGGAAACGAUGUGGGAAGGCCCAGACAGCCAGGAUGUUGGCUUAGAAGCAGCCAUCAUUUAAAGAAAGCGUAAUAGCUCACUGGUCGAGUCGGCCUGCGCGGAAGAUGUAACGGGGCUAAACCAUGCACCGAAGCUGCGGCAGCGACACUGUGUGUUGUUGGGUAGGGGAGCGUU
Molecule: ribosomal RNA, 531 nt
Filed under: Salmonella enterica
Lineage: Bacteria; Pseudomonadati; Pseudomonadota; Gammaproteobacteria; Enterobacterales; Enterobacteriaceae
Also listed under: 2 other names
Description: partial 23S ribosomal RNA
Rfam family: Bacterial large subunit ribosomal RNA
Source: RNAcentral